UUUCCGUAGGUGAACCUGCGGAAGGAUCAUUAACGAGUUAGGGUCGUCUAGGCCCGACCUCCCAACCCUUUGUUUACUGAACCAUUGUUGCCUCGGUGGGUCCGUCUUACGACCGCCGGGGGAUCGCCGCGAGGCGCCCCCUGGCCGGCGCCCACCGAUAGCCCAACCUUUAAAACCCUUUGUGAAUCGUGUCUUAUGUCUAAAUUUAUGAUUAACAAUCAAAACAAAACUUUCAACAACGGAUCUCUUGGUUCUG
This 256-nucleotide unclassified non-coding RNA is filed under the name plant metagenome. RNAcentral describes it as "partial contains small subunit ribosomal RNA, internal transcribed spacer 1, and 5.8S ribosomal RNA". The record is from RNAcentral.